AGAGUGAAGAAGAAGAGGAGGAAGAGGAAUGGCAAAGGGAAGAGAGAGAAGAGGGAGAAGGAAGAAGAGGAGGAGAUUAUGCACGACACUUGUUAAAAUUGCAACACUGAGACGGUAUUAGCAGCCCAGUUCUUCAUUUGAGAAGACCAAAGCACAGAGGGGCUAAGUGAUUUGCCCGGGCCCACACAGCUGGGUUGUUGCUGAGCCAGCAUUUGAAACCAGGCUACAUCCUUGAAUCUCAGCUUGGACUUGGUAUCAUUCAGAGUCCUACCAAGAGAAUCAAAACCACUUCAGUGCCUCCACCACCAGUCUCUCAUGAAUGACUCUCCUUGUCAGGGCCCAGAUGGAAGCCAGCUGACAUGCAAGCCUGGGAACUGCAGCCUGCAGAGAUCAACAACCCCACGGAGUCACAGAGCAGAGCAGGUGAAGGAAGAAGAAUGGGUUUGAGGCAAACAGGGCCAGGAUCGGCAGGCCUUGUCCUCCAGGAAGCCUUUCCCACCCCACCUCAGGCUGGAAUAGGGGCCUUCGUAGGCUGAAUGAUGGCCUCCCAAAAAUGUUCACUUCUUAAUCCCUCAACCCUCUGAAUAUUACCUUAUAUGACAAAAGAUGUGACUAAGACGUGUUAAGGAUCUUGAAAAGAGAGACUGAAGCUGGGUUUUCUGGAUGGGCUUCAUAGACAGACACACAGAAGAAAAGGCAAUGU
Molecule: long non-coding RNA, 703 nt
Filed under: Homo sapiens (human)
Lineage: Eukaryota; Metazoa; Chordata; Mammalia; Primates; Hominidae
Description: HSALNT0330828
Source: RNAcentral